This 701-nucleotide long non-coding RNA is filed under the name Homo sapiens (human). Its description in RNAcentral is "PREDICTED lncRNA (TCONS_00075787)". The record is from RNAcentral. Lineage: Eukaryota; Metazoa; Chordata; Mammalia; Primates; Hominidae.
GGAGGCCGGAGAGGCGUUUGCGGCCCAGCGCCUGGACUGGACCUUGGCGUUGGGCCGCAGUUGCCCGGAGUUUUUGGGGCCCCCGGGAACCCGCGCGCCGAGGCCGGCUAAGUUUGGCAGACUCUCUGAGCUCUCGGAAUUCGACUGCCUCCAUUGUUGCUCCUUCUGGCACCCACAGACCACAUCUCUUCAGUGGACCCCCUGAUAGGCCGGUUUGCUCCAGAAGAGACGGGGUUUCACCAUGUUGGCCAUGAUGGUCUCGAUUUCUGACCUUGUCAUCCGUCCGCCUUGGCCUCCCAAAGUGCUGGGAUUACGGGCGUGAGCCACCGUACCCAGCCUGCUUCCUGUUUUAACAGACGAAGAAAUGGAAUAACUUCCAACAACACAGGUUGGAGCUGAAGGAGUGCCCAGGCUGCGGAUGGAGGAAGGACGUGCUCGGGAGAAGGUGAAGAUGGGAGAGAAGCAAGAUCUUCUGUGUUUGGACCAAGGACACAUUUCCUUACUCCAUAGCAGCUGUGCAUGGAAUAUGGAUGUGUGGUCUGGAUGUACAGACACCAUUUUGGACCAUAAAGACAAGGACGAUUGUCUAAGGAUGACACAGCCAGAGCACUGAGAGUGGCGAGAAGGACAGGGGAGCUGCUGUGCCAAGCAGGACUGUCUCUCUUAAGAGAAAAAUAAAAUUUAUUGGUGUUUAAACCAUU